UACGGAGGGUGCAAGCGUUACUCGGAAUUACUGGGCGUAAAGCGUGCGUAGGUGGUUCGUUAAGUCUGUCGUGAAAGCCCCGGGCUCAACCUGGGAAUGGCGAUGGAUACUGGCGGGCUAGAGUGCGGUAGAGGAGAGUGGAAUUCCCGGUGUAGCAGUGAAAUGCGUAGAGAUCGGGAGGAACAUCAGUGGCGAAGGCGGCUCUCUGGACCAGCACUGACACUGAGGCACGAAAGCGUGGGGAGCAAACAGG
Molecule: ribosomal RNA, 253 nt
Filed under: uncultured bacterium
Lineage: Bacteria
Description: partial 16S ribosomal RNA
Rfam family: Bacterial small subunit ribosomal RNA
Source: RNAcentral